UACGUAGGGUGCGAGCGUUAAUCGGAAUUACUGGGCGUAAAGCGUGCGCAGGUGGUUGUGUAAGCCAGAUGUGGAAUCCCCGGGCUUAACCUGGGAAUGGCAUUUGGGACUGCACGGCUAGAGUGUGGCAGAGGGGGGUGGAAUUCCGCGUGUAGCAGUGAAAUGCGUAGAGACGCGGAGGAACACCGAUGGCGAAGGCAGCCCCCUGGGUUAACACUGACACUCAUGCACGAAAGCGUGGGGAGCAAACAGG
RNAcentral lists this ribosomal RNA (253 nucleotides) under uncultured bacterium. RNAcentral describes it as "partial 16S ribosomal RNA". It matches the Rfam family "Bacterial small subunit ribosomal RNA", at positions 524 to 776 of the family's 1533-position model. The record is from RNAcentral.